CCUACGGGGGGCAGCAGUGGGGAAUAUUGGACAAUGGGGGGAACCCUGAUCCAGCCAUGCCGCGUGUGUGAAGAAGGCCCUCGGGUUGUAAAGCACUUUCAGUGAGGAAGAACGCCUGGUGGUUAAUACCCAUCAGGAAAGACAUCACUCACAGAAGAAGCACCGGCUAACUCCGUGCCAGCAGCCGCGGUAAUACGGAGGGUGCGAGCGUUAAUCGGAAUUACUGGCGUAAAGCGCGCGUAGGUGGCUUGAUAAGCCGGUUGUGAAAGCCCCGGGCUCAACCUGGGAACGGCAUCCGGAACUGUCAAGCUAGAGUGCAGGAGAGGAAGGUAGAAUUCCCGGUGUAGCGGUGAAAUGCGUAGAGAUCGGGAGGAAUACCAGUGGCGAAGGCGGCCUUCUGGACUGACACUGACACUGAGGUGCGAAAGCGUGGGUAGCAAACAGGAUUAGAUACCCUUGUAGUC
This 464-nucleotide ribosomal RNA is filed under the name Vreelandella stevensii. Its description in RNAcentral is "partial 16S ribosomal RNA". It matches the Rfam family "Bacterial small subunit ribosomal RNA", at positions 338 to 795 of the family's 1533-position model. Lineage: Bacteria; Pseudomonadati; Pseudomonadota; Gammaproteobacteria; Oceanospirillales; Halomonadaceae. The record is from RNAcentral.